This 1226-nucleotide long non-coding RNA is filed under the name Mus caroli (Ryukyu mouse). Its description in RNAcentral is "predicted gene 16183 (MGP_CAROLIEiJ_G0004136.1)". Lineage: Eukaryota; Metazoa; Chordata; Mammalia; Rodentia; Muridae. The record is from RNAcentral.
UGGUGGACAUGCAGCGAGGCCUACACAGAGCGGUACAAACGGGCACAUGCAGACGGAAUCUCGAGACUCAUUCAUAGCUCCGCCCCUCCAAGGCAGCGUGCAAGGCCUGAUUGGUGCACCACGUUCGGGGUUGGGGCGGCUGCAGCCCUCCUGCUUGCUCUGAAACAAUGGAGUGGAGAGACACUCAUCAGAAAGGACACAGCGCGCUGCUGAGAGUCGAGGGACGCUCAUGACUCAGUUACUCGAGAAAAGAAAAAAAGAAAAAAAAGAAGAGGAAUGUUGGCAGAAGACUCGUUGGGUGUUGUAGUCACCACCGAAAAAUCCCCAGCUCUGGGACAUCGGUGUUGGCAAAGAUAGACUACCUUGUAAGCCACUCUGGCCGGGCACUUCUUCCCCAGACCCAGGGGCGGGGACAUGUGUCUCAGCAUCUGAUACAUGUCCGGUUCAGGAGGAGGUGACAAUACAGCCAGAAGAUCUGAGACGGCUCCUUACCAGGCAGCAGGGUCAUACUCUGCCCAGACACGCACGUAUUCAUCCAAGUGGUGGGGGCCCAGGAUGGAAGAAUCUCGGUCCCACUUUCUAGGGAUUCAUUGGCUUGAAUCAGUGCCAGGGGUGAAGACAUGGCCCUCCUCGUGUGCAGACUCACCAGAAACGAGCACAGGAAGAUGAACGAGACAAAGUAGAAGUACGCGAACUCGUUGCCACAGUCUGCUGUGAGGAUCCCGGAGUUCUUAUCGCAUGGCUUCCCACUGAGGCAGGAGAGCAUGAUGUUGUGCCACGCUUCUCCUGUGGCGCUCCUGAGGAUACACAGCGUCAGUGAUCUGGGCUCCAGCCCCAGAUAGACACUACUGCCUUCCUAGAAGGGUAAGGACUGAGGCUCUGGGCAAGCCAGUCACGGGCGGGCGCAAGGCCCAGAGGACCAUCUCCUUUCCCUUGGUGCUCAAAGUGCCAUGUUCAAGCCUGGUUGUGCCUUAAAUGUCCUCGGGGAGGCGUCAGUGAGGUACUUUGGUAAGCACAGGUUCUUAUCACAAGGCUUGCUCACCUGAAUUUGAUCCUUGGGACUCACAUUAUAAAAAGGAGAGAGAGAAGUGACUCCCACAAGUUGUCCUUGAUCUCUGCCUAUGUGCCAUGACAGGUGCACCCACACCCACUAAAACUCUAUACAUGUAAGAAAAAUAAAAGAAAGUCCGCAGCAAGCACUGAAGUGGUGGGGCUGGGAUGUCUGG